Molecule: long non-coding RNA, 2012 nt
Organism: Monodelphis domestica (gray short-tailed opossum)
Lineage: Eukaryota; Metazoa; Chordata; Mammalia; Didelphimorphia; Didelphidae
Source: Ensembl
CACACAUUUAGUAUUCUUUGCAUAAGGAUAUGAUGCUACUAACCCAUCAUUUAUAAAUCAAAUGUUUUAAGCAUUUUUUUAAUUAGAAAGGAUAGAUUUCACUGAACAAUUGGACUAAUCAUUUUUUCUUAUUUAUCCAUUAACAGCUGCUCUGUGUACUUCCUUUGGAUGAGCCCAGUUUUGUUUUUCUUACUAAUUGUCCCAUUCUGAAUUAUUCAAUGACUAAGCCUCUAAAAUCCUUUUGGAUGAAGUUAACAGCAUACUUGGCUCUGGGUGAGGUAUAGAAGAAGACUCGGGAUCCAUCCAAGGAACCAUGCUAAACCCUGAGGAUCCAAAUAAAUGCAAAGUCAGACGGUUCUGAAAGAGCUCACAGUCUCAAGGAGGAGACAAUUUGCAAAUGACUUCAUGUGAACAAGUGACCUAUAUUAUAUGAUGAAAAUAAUCAAGAGGGAAGGCUCCAGAAUUAAGGAGGAUCGGGAGAGGCUUCCUUAUAGAAGAUGAGAUUUUAGUAAGGGCUUGCAAGAAGACAAGGAGGUCAGGAGGAGAGAUGAAGGAGAGCAUUCCAAAAGGGAGAACAAUCACUGUAAAUGCCCUGCGUAGUGUCUUAGCUGAGAAAGAGCAAGAAGGAUUUCAAGAGUGUUUUUUCAAAUGUUUUGCUGAAAUCCAAUCAUAUUAUGCCCCCACUUUACCCAAUCGUUCAGGGUACAGCACUGAGAUAGGCUCAAAUGAGGCUUGAACUCUUGACAUCACUCCAGACCUUAACAGAACUUCUGGCCACUCUGGUCUGGAUUCAUGCCUUGAAGGCCUCAUCUGGGAUCAAACAAGUCUUCAUGGGAUGAGGAGCAAGUCAUUGGGCAAAUGAACUCUCCCCUCUGAGUUUCGGUCCCGGUUUGUGUAUGUGUUGGCACCAAAGGAGGGUUGUGGCUUUCCUUUUGUUCCUGGUUUAUGUCACAAAGGAAGUCUUUGGUUUGCUUCACUAUCAUCUCACUGACUUGUAUAAGAGUAAUUAUGCUUAGUUUAGAAACAUUCCAUGGAACUAAAGUAGGACAAUGAAAUCCAAGAUGAUGUGAUUUGUUUGUGACUAUAAAGCAAUGAGACUGGUCCUCUGGUGGCUUUUUAUUUCAUGCAUUCUCUGCCUAUUAAUUUUCACAAUAGAAAUGACUUUCUUUUUUAAUACACCAAAGUAUCAGCUGACACAUUCAAGAAUUUUAGAGUUGGAGGACACCCUAACAGUCAUCUACUCUGGUCCCUUCCAAAGCUGAAAUCCUUUAUGCAGUAGUUCAUAGAUCUAGAACUUGAAGUAAAGCCAGAGACUAUCUAGUUCAACCCAUUUAUUUACAGUUUAGGAAACAGGUCUAGGGAUACCAAGUGUCUUGCUCAAAGUUACAUAGGUAGUGAGCAUUAGAGGUGAGAUUUGAACACAGAUCUACUGACUGCAGAACAAGUGGUCCUUGAUAAGAAACUUGCUACUUUAAAAGGUUUCCUGUUUGGUUUGUGGUGGCUAUAAAAUAACCCUCCCCAUAAUUCCUACCAAUUGAUUCCAGUUUGGCUUCCUGAAUCUGUGAAGUGUAGCAAGGGAAGGUGCUGAGGGGAUUACACAGAAUGAUUGACAAACCUGCAUUCUGUAUGAGAUCUGGCUGGGUCAGAAUUCUAAGCUGUUGGAAAGAACAGUUUUUCAACUGAGAGACUGAAGCUAGAGAUCAAGACUGAAGGUGUGACUCUGGGACUCUCCCUGGACAAACCCAUCUGUCAAGUUGCCUGCCUUAGAAUAAGAUCAAGACAAGGUUGAGAAGAAGUUCCCCAUUCAUUCUGGUGGACAGCGCAAUUUGGAAAAGAAUUUCUCCCCUAUCUAGAGCUUCUAAGGACUCUGAAAUUGGAUUUCUGCUGCCUGACCCACCAACGACUCUGAGAGAAUCUGGGCUCCCUGUUUGGACUUAUCCUUAGUUAACUUGUUUAGUUUAGUUUAGUUUAGACAAGGUUAAGUUUAGAAAAUAAAUAUAGUGGGUUAAGCA